Molecule: ribosomal RNA, 498 nt
Filed under: uncultured bacterium
Lineage: Bacteria
Description: partial 16S ribosomal RNA
Rfam family: Bacterial small subunit ribosomal RNA
Source: RNAcentral
GACGAACGCUGGCGGCGUGCCUAAUACAUGCAAGUCGAACGAGAGCAGCCGGUGCUUGCACUGGUCAAACUAGUGGCGAACGGGUGAGUAACACGUGGGUAACCUGCCCAUCAGAGGGGGAUAACAUCCGGAAACGGAUGCUAAAACCGCAUAGGUCUUCGAACCGCAUGGUUUGAAGAGGAAAAGAGGCGCAAGAUUCUGCAGAGGGAUGGACCCGCUGUGCAUUAGCUAGUUGGUGAGGUAAGGGCUCACCAAGGCCGUGAUGCAUAGCCGACCUGAGGGGGUGAUCGGCCACAUUGGAACUGAGACACGGCCCAAACUCCUACGGGAGGCAGCGGUAGGGAAUCUUCCGAAAUGGACGCAAUUCUGCCGGAGCAACGCGGCGUGAGUGAAGAAGGUUUUCGGAUCGUAAAACUCUGUUGUUAGAGAAGAACAAGUGCUAGAGUAACUGUUAGCGCCUUGACGGUAUCUAACCAGAAAGCCACGGCUAACUACGUG